UCAGGACGAACGCUGGCGGCGUGCCUAAUACAUGCAAGUCGAACGGUCUUUCUAUGGAAGCUUGCUUCCGCUGAGAAGAUAGUGGCGAACGGGUGAGUAACACGUGGGUAACCUGCCCAUAAGAGGGGGGAUAACAUCCGGAAACGGGUGCUAAUACCGCAUAGUUUUCUUGAUCGCAUGAUCGGGAAAGGAAAGACGGCCUUUGUGCUGUCGCUUAUGGAUGGACCCGCGGCGUAUUAGUUAGUUGGUGAGGUAACGGCUCACCAAGACGAUGAUACGUAGCCGACCUGAGAGGGUGAUCGGCCACAUUGGGACUGAGACACGGCCCAAACUCCUACGGGAGGCAGCAGUAGGGAAUCUUCCGCAAUGGACGAAAGUCUGACGGAGCAACGCCGCGUGAGUGAAGAAAGGUUUUCGGAUCGUAAAACUCUGUUGUCAGAGAAGAACAAGUUGGAGAGUAACUGCUCCAGCCUUGACGGUAUCUGACCAGAAAGCCACGGCUAACUACGUGCCAGCAGCGGC
This 522-nucleotide ribosomal RNA is filed under the name uncultured bacterium. Its description in RNAcentral is "bacterial SSU rRNA". It matches the Rfam family "Bacterial small subunit ribosomal RNA", at positions 24 to 518 of the family's 1533-position model. The record is from RNAcentral.